AGUGGCGAACGGGUGAGUAACGCGUAGACAACCAACCUUUUUGUGGGGGACAACACUUCGAAAGGAGUGCUAAUACCGCAUACGCUCCAGAUGCCGCCUGGCAUUUGGAGGAAAGGAGCUGUAAGGCUUCGCAAAAAGACGGGUCUGCGUCUGAUUAGCUAGUUGGAGGGGUAACGGCCCACCAAGGCGACGAUCAGUAGCCGGUCUGAGAGGAUGGACGGCCACACUGGGACUGAGACACGGCCCAGACUCCUACGGGAGGCAGCAGUGGGGAAUCUUCCGCAAUGGACGAAAGUCUGACGGAGCGACGCCGCGUGAGUGAUGAAGGCCCUUGGGUCGUAAAGCUCUGUCAUCAGGGACGAACGGUCACGUCAGGAAAUGGGCGUGAAUUGACGGUACCUGAGAAGGAAGCCACGGCUAACUACGUGCCAGCAGCCGCGGUAAUACGUAGGUGGCGAGCGUUGUCCGGAAUUAUUGGGCGUAAAGCGCGCGCAGGUGGGAUCUUAAGUCUGUUCUGAAAGUUCGGAGCUUAACUCCGUGAUGGGAUGGAAACUGGGAUUCUUGAGUAUCGGAGAGGAAAGCGGAAUUCCCCGUGUAGCGGUGAAAUGCGUAGAUAUGGGGAGGAACACCAGUGGCGAAGGCGGCUUUCUGGACGAUGUCUGACACUGAGGCGCGAAAGCCAGGGGAGCGAACGGGAUUAGAUACCCCGGUAGUCCUGGCC
This 721-nucleotide ribosomal RNA is filed under the name uncultured bacterium. RNAcentral describes it as "bacterial SSU rRNA". It matches the Rfam family "Bacterial small subunit ribosomal RNA", at positions 94 to 801 of the family's 1533-position model. The record is from RNAcentral.